CCCUUAGACGUUCUGGGCCGCACGCGCGCUACACUGACCAGUGCAACAAGCAUCCGUCCUUGGCCGACAGGCUCGGGCAAUCUUUGAACGCUGGUCGUGAUGGGGAUAGACUUUUGCAAUUUUUGGUCUUCAACGAGGAAUUCCUAGUAAACGCAAGUCAUCAACUUGCAUUGAUUACGUCCCUGCCCUUUGUACACACCGCCCGUCGCACCUACCGAUUGAAUGGUCCGGUGAAGCCUCCGGAUUGGCGCGCACCUCGGUGCCGCCGAGAUGUUGGCUAAACCUUACCAUUUAGAGGAAGGUGAAGUCGUAACA
RNAcentral lists this ribosomal RNA (315 nucleotides) under uncultured eukaryote. Its description in RNAcentral is "partial 18S ribosomal RNA". It matches the Rfam family "Eukaryotic small subunit ribosomal RNA", at positions 1470 to 1796 of the family's 1831-position model. The record is from RNAcentral.